RNAcentral lists this transfer RNA (66 nucleotides) under Caudoviricetes sp. RNAcentral describes it as "tRNA-Ser". The record is from RNAcentral. Lineage: Duplodnaviria; Heunggongvirae; Uroviricota; Caudoviricetes.
GCGGCGGUGUAUUGUUUUUCCUGACUCUUAAUCAGGGUGUCCAGGGUUCGAGUCCCUGAAGGCGCA